Molecule: ribosomal RNA, 407 nt
Filed under: uncultured bacterium
Lineage: Bacteria
Description: partial 16S ribosomal RNA
Rfam family: Bacterial small subunit ribosomal RNA
Source: RNAcentral
AAUACUGCGCAAUGGAGGGAACUCUGACGCAGCGGCGCCGCGUGAGCGAUGAAGGUCAUCGGACCGUAAAGCUCUUGCCUUCGGGAAGAAGGUCUUCGGACUCGACGGCACCGAAGGAGGAAGGCCCUGCUAACUACGCGCCAGGCGCCGCGGUAAUACGUAGGGGGCAAGCGUUGUCCGGGAUUAUUGGGCGUAAAGGGUGCGUAGGCGGCCUUUUAAGUCAGAUGUGAAAGCCCACGGCUCAACCGUGGGAUUGCAUUUGAAACUGGAGGGCUUGAGUAUCGGAGAGGGUAGUGGAAUUCCCAGUGUAGCGGUGAAAUGCGUAGAUAUUGGGAGGAACACCAGUGGCGAAGGCGACUACCUGGACGAUUACUGACGCUGAUGCACGAAAGCUAGGGGAGCAAACA